CAAGUCGAACGGAAUCCUUAGGGAUUUAGUGGCGAACGGGUGAGUAACACGUAAGAACCUGCCUCUAGGACGGGGACAACAGUUGGAAACGACUGCUAAACCCGGAUGAGCCGAAAGGUAAAAGAUUAAUCGCCUAGAGAGGGGCUUGCGUCUGAUUAGCUAGUUGGUGAGGUAAGAGCCCACCAAGGCGACGAUCAGUAGCUGGUCUGAGAGGAUGAUCAGCCACACUGGGACUGAGACACGGCCCAGACUCCUACGGGAGGCAGCAGUGGGGAAUUUUCCGCAAUGGGCGAAAGCCUGACGGAGCAAGACCGCGUGGGGGAGGAAGGUUCUUGGAUUGUCAGCCCCCUUUCUCAGGGAAGAACACAAUGACGGUACCUGAGGAAAAAGCAUCGGCUAACUCCGUGCCAGCAGCCGCGGUAAUACGGGGGAUGCAAGCGUUAUCCGGAAUGAUUGGGCGUAAAGAGUCCGUAGGUAGUCAUCCAAGUCUGCUGUUAAAGAGCGAGGCUUAACCUCGUAAAGGCAGUGGAAACUGGAAGACUAGAGUGUAGUAGGGGCAGAGGGAAUUCCUGGUGUAGCGGUGAAAUGCGUAGAGAUCAGGAAGAACACCGGUGGCGAAGGCGCUCUGCUGGGCUAUAACUGACACUGAGGGACGAAAGCUAGGGGAGCGAACGGGAUUAGAUACCCCAGUAGUCCUAGCGGUAAACGAUGGAAACUAGGUGUGGCCUGUAUCGACCCGGGCCGUGCCGAAGCAAACGCGUUAAGUUUCCCGCCUGGGGAGUACGCACGCAAGUGUGAAACUCAAAGGAAUUGACGG
This 817-nucleotide ribosomal RNA is filed under the name uncultured bacterium. RNAcentral describes it as "bacterial SSU rRNA". It matches the Rfam family "Bacterial small subunit ribosomal RNA", at positions 58 to 916 of the family's 1533-position model. The record is from RNAcentral.